GACGAACGCUGGCGGCGUGCCUAAUACAUGCAAGUCGAACGCAUUUUCUUUCACCGUAGCUUGCUACACCGAAAGAAAAUGAGUGGCGAGCGGGUGAGUAACACGUGGGUAACCUGCCCAUCAGCGGGGGAUAACACUUGGAAACAGGUGCUAAUACCGCAUAAUUCCAUUUACCGCAUGGUAGAUGGAUGAAAGGCGCUUUUGCGUCACUGAUGGAUGGACCCGCGGUGCAUUAGCUAGUUGGUGGGGUAACGGCCUACCAAGGCUGCGAUGCAUAGCCGACCUGAGAGGGUGAUCGGCCACACUGGGACUGAGACACGGCCCAGACUCCUACGGGAGGCAGCAGUAGGGAAUCUUCGGCAAUGGACGCAAGUCUGACCGAGCAACGCCGCGUGAGUGAAGAAGGUUUUCGGAUCGUAAAACUCUGUUGUUAGAGAAGAACAAGGAUGAGAGUGGAAAGUUCAUCCCUUGACGGUAUCUAACCAGAAAGCCACGGCUAACUACGUG
This 507-nucleotide ribosomal RNA is filed under the name uncultured bacterium. RNAcentral describes it as "partial 16S ribosomal RNA". It matches the Rfam family "Bacterial small subunit ribosomal RNA", at positions 28 to 507 of the family's 1533-position model. The record is from RNAcentral.